AGAGUUUGAUCAUGGCUCAGGAUGAACGCUAGCGGCAGGCCUAAUACAUGCAAGUCGAACGGUGGUAGCAAUACCAUAGUGGCGCACGGGUGCGUAACACGUAACUAACCUACCUAUAACUGGGGGAUAGCCCGCCGAAAGGCGGAUUAAUACCGCAUAAGCUGUCUGAGUGGCAUCACUCGAUUAGUAAAGAUUUAUUGGUUAUAGAUGGGGUUGCGGGUCAUUAGCUAGUUGGUAAGGUAACGGCUUACCAAGGCGACGAUGACUAGGGGAGCUGAGAGGCUGGUCCCCCACACGGGCACUGAGAUACGGGCCCGACUCCUACGGGAGGCAGCAGUAGGGAAUAUUGGGCAAUGGGCGAGAGCCUGACCCAGCCAUGCCGCGUGCAGGAAGAAGGCUUUCUGAGUCGUAAACUGCUUUUGACAGGGAAGAAUAAGCACUACGUGUAGUGUGAUGACGGUACCUGCAGAAUAAGCACCGGCUAACUCCGUGCCAGCAGCCGCGGUAAUACGGAGGGUGCGAGCGUUGUCCGGAUUUAUUGGGUUUAAAGGGUGCGUAGGCGGCCUGAUAAGUCCGGGGUGAAAGCCCGCUGCUCAACAGCGGAACUGCCCUGGAUACUGUCAGGCUUGAGUACAGACGAGGUUGGCGGAAUGGACUGAGUAGCGGUGAAAUGCAUAGAUACAGUCCAGAACCCCGAUUGCGAAGGCAGCUGACUAGGCUGUUACUGACACUGAGGCACGAAAGCGUGGGGAUCAAACAGGAUUAGAUACCCUGGUAGUCCACGCCCUAAACGAUGAAUACUCGAUGUUGGCGAUAUACGGUCAGCGUCUAAGCGAAAGCGUUAAGUAUUCCACCUGGGGAGUACGCCCGCAAGGGUGAAACUCAAAGGAAUUGACGGGGGCCCGCACAAGCGGAGGAGCAUGUGGUUUAAUUCGAUGAUACACGAGGAACCUUACCCGGGCUUGAAAGUUAGUGAAUGAUUCAGAGACGAAUCAGUCCUUCGGGACACGAAACUAGGUGCUGCAUGGCUGUCGUCAGCUCGUGCCGUGAGGUGUUGGGUUAAGUCCCGCAACGAGCGCAACCCCUAUGUUUAGUUGCCAGCACAUAAUGGUGGGGACUCUAAACAGACUGCCUACGCAAGUAGAGAGGAAGGAGGGGACGACGUCAAGUCAUCAUGGCCCUUACGUCCGGGGCUACACACGUGCUACAAUGGAUGGUACAGAGGGCUGCUACCUGGCAACAGGAUGCUAAUCUCAAAAAGCCAUUCACAGUUCGGAUUGAGGUCUGCAACUCGACCUUAUGAAGUUGGAUUCGCUAGUAAUCGCGUAUCAGCAAUGACGCGGUGAAUACGUUCCCGGGCCUUGUACACACCGCCCGUCAAGCCAUGGGAGCUGGGGGUACCUAAAGUAUGUAACCGCAAGGAGCGUCCUAGGGUAAAACCGGUAACUGGGGCUAAGUCGUAA
This 1463-nucleotide ribosomal RNA is filed under the name uncultured bacterium. RNAcentral's name for it is "bacterial SSU rRNA". It matches the Rfam family "Bacterial small subunit ribosomal RNA". The record is from RNAcentral.